UACGAAGGGAGCUAGCGUUGUUCGGAAUCACUGGGCGUAAAGCGCACGUAGGCGGAUUUGUCAGUCGGGGGUGAAAUCCCGAGGCUUAACCUCGGAACUGCCUCCGAUACAGCAAAUCUCGAGUCCGGGAGAGGUGGGUGGAAUUCCUAGUGUAGAGGUGAAAUUCGUAGAUAUUAGGAAGAACACCAGUGGCGAAGGCGGCCCACUAGCCCGGUACUGAGGCUGAGGUGCGAAAGCUUGGGGAGCAAACAGG
Molecule: ribosomal RNA, 253 nt
Filed under: uncultured bacterium
Lineage: Bacteria
Description: partial 16S ribosomal RNA
Rfam family: Bacterial small subunit ribosomal RNA
Source: RNAcentral